Molecule: ribosomal RNA, 253 nt
Filed under: uncultured bacterium
Lineage: Bacteria
Description: partial 16S ribosomal RNA
Rfam family: Bacterial small subunit ribosomal RNA
Source: RNAcentral
UACAGGGGGUGCAAACGUUGCUCGGAAUUAUUGGGCGUAAAGCGCGCGUAGGCGGUGACUCAAGUCGGAUGUGAAAGCCCUUGGCUUAACCGAGGAAGUGCAUCCGAGACUGAGUCGCUAGAGUACGAUAGAGGGUCGCGGAAUUCCCGGUGUAGAGGUGAAAUUCGUAGAUAUCGGGAGGAACACCGGUGGCGAAGGCGGCGACCUGGGUCGAUACUGACGCUGAGGCGCGAAAGCGUGGGGAGCAAACAGG